GAUGAACGCUAGCUACAGGCUUAACACAUGCAAGUCGAGGGGCAGCGGUAUCGAAAGCUUGCUUUCGGUAGCCGGCGACCGGCGCACGGGUGAGUAACGCGUAUCGAACCUGCCUCAUACUCGGGAAUAGCCUUGCGAAAGUAAGAUUAAUGCCCGGUGUUUUCAGAGUCCCGCAUGAGGCUUUGAACAAAGAUUUAUCGGUGUGAGAUGGCGAUGCGUCCCAUUAGCUUGUUGGCGGGGUAACGGCCCACCAAGGCAUCGAUGGGUAGGGGUUCUGAGAGGAAGGUCCCCCACAUUGGAACUGAGACACGGUCCAAACUCCUACGGGAGGCAGCAGUGAGGAAUAUUGGUCAAUGGGCGGAAGCCUGAACCAGCCAAGUAGCGUGCAGGAAGACGGCCCUCCGGGUUGUAAACUGCUUUUAGUUGGGAAUAAGACGGGGCUCGUGAGCCCCCUUGCAUGUACCAUCAGAAAAAGGACCGGCUAAUUCCGUGCCAGCAGCCGCAGUAA
This 508-nucleotide ribosomal RNA is filed under the name uncultured bacterium. RNAcentral describes it as "partial 16S ribosomal RNA". It matches the Rfam family "Bacterial small subunit ribosomal RNA", at positions 28 to 523 of the family's 1533-position model. The record is from RNAcentral.